UACGGAGGAUGCAAGCGUUAUCCGGAAUUAUUGGGCGUAAAGCGCCUGUAGGUGGAUGUUCAAGUCUGCCGUCAAAGACCGGGGCUUAACCCUGGAAAGGCGGUGGAAACUGAAGAUCUAGAGUGCGGUAGGGGCAGAGGGAAUUCCCAGUGUAGCGGUGAAAUGCGUAGAGAUUGGGAAGAACACCGGUGGCGAAAGCGGUCUGCUAGGCCAAAACUGACACUCAUGGACGAAAGCGAGGGGAGCGAAUGGG
This 253-nucleotide ribosomal RNA is filed under the name uncultured bacterium. RNAcentral describes it as "partial 16S ribosomal RNA". It matches the Rfam family "Bacterial small subunit ribosomal RNA", at positions 524 to 776 of the family's 1533-position model. The record is from RNAcentral.